RNAcentral lists this ribosomal RNA (301 nucleotides) under uncultured bacterium. RNAcentral's name for it is "partial 16S ribosomal RNA". It matches the Rfam family "Bacterial small subunit ribosomal RNA", at positions 509 to 808 of the family's 1533-position model. The record is from RNAcentral.
CAGCCGCCGCGGUAAUACGUAGGUCCCGAGCGUUGUCCGGAUUUAUUGGGCGUAAAGGGAGCGCAGGCGGUUUAGUAAGUCUGAAGUUAAAGGCAUUGGCUCAACCAAUGUAUGCUUUGGAAACUGUUUAACUUGAGUGCAGAAGGGGAGAGUGGAAUUCCAUGUGUAGCGGUGAAAUGCGUAGAUAUAUGGAGGAACACCGGUGGCGAAAGCGGCUCUCUGGUCUGUAACUGACGCUGAGGCUCGAAAGCGUGGGGAGCAAACAGGAUUAGAUACCCCCGUAGUCCCUGUCUCUUAUACA